RNAcentral lists this ribosomal RNA (325 nucleotides) under uncultured eukaryote. RNAcentral describes it as "partial 18S ribosomal RNA". It matches the Rfam family "Eukaryotic small subunit ribosomal RNA", at positions 1470 to 1796 of the family's 1831-position model. The record is from RNAcentral.
CCCUUAGAUGUUCUGGGCCGCACGCGCGCUACACUGAUGCAUUCAACGAGUCUAAAACCUGCUCUGAUAGGGGUGGGUAAUCUUUUGAAUGUGCAUCGUGAUUGGGAUAGAUGAUUGCAAUUUUUCAUCUUCAACGAGGAAUGCCUAGUAAACGCAAGUCAUCAGCUUGCAUUGAUUACGUCCCUGCCCUUUGUACACACCGCCCGUCGCACCUACCGAUUGAAUGUUUCGGUGAAGAUUCCGGAUAGGACUUUUUUGAUUUAUUUCAAUUCUGUCUUAAAAGCUAUCUAAACCUCAACAUUUAGAGGAAGGUGAAGUCGUAACA